This 68-nucleotide transfer RNA is filed under the name Scarabaeoidea sp. KM-2017. RNAcentral's name for it is "tRNA-Asn". The record is from RNAcentral. Lineage: Eukaryota; Metazoa; Arthropoda; Insecta; Coleoptera.
UUAAUUGAAGCCAAAUAGAGGCAUAUUACUGUUAAUAAUAUAAUUAGAAAAUUUUAUUCUCAAUUAAA